UCCCGAGCGUUNUCCGGAUUUAUUGGGCGUAAAGGGAGCGCNGGCGGUUUAGUAAGUCUGAAGUUAAAGNCAUUGGCUCAACCAAUGUAUGCUUUGGAAACUGUUAGACUUGAGUGCAGAAGGGGAGAGUGGAAUUCCAUGUGUAGCGGUGAUAUGCGUAGAUAUAUGGAGGAACACCGGUGGCGAAAGCGGCUCUCUGGUCUGUCACUGACGCUGAGGCUCGAAAGCGUGGGUAGCGAACAGGAUUAGAUACCCUGGUAGUNCACGCCGUAAACGCUGAGUGCUAGGUGUUAGGUCCUUUCCGGGACUUAGUGCCGACGCUAACGCAUUAAGCACUCCGCCUGGGGAGUACGACCGCAAGGUUGAAACUCAAAGGAAUUGACGGGGGCCCGCACAAGCGGUGGAGCAUGUGGUUUAAUUCGAAGCAACGCGAAGAACCUUACCAGGUCUUGACAUCCCGAUGCCCGCUCUAGAGAUAGAGUUUUUCUUCGGAACAUCGGAGACAGGUGGUGCAUGGUUGUCGUCAGCUCGUGUCGUGAGAUGUUGGGUUAAGUCCCGCAACGAGCGCAACCCUUAUUGUUAGUUGCCAUCAUUAAGUUGGGCACUCUAGCGAGACUGCCGGUAAUAAACCGGAGGAAGGUGGGGAUGACGUCAAAUCAUCAUGCCCCUUAUGACCUGGGCUACACACGUGCUACAAUGGUUGGUACAACGAGUCGCAAGCCGGUGACGGCAAGCUAAUCUCUGAAAGCCAAUCUCAGUUCGGAUUGUAGGCUGCAACUCGCCUACAUGAAGUCGGAAUCGCUAGUAAUCGCGGAUCAGCACGCCGCGGUGAAUACGUUCCCGGGCCUUGUACACACCGCCCGUCACACCACGAGAGUUUGUAACACCCAAAGUCGGUGAGGUAACCAUUUAUGGGGCCAGCCGC
This 925-nucleotide ribosomal RNA is filed under the name uncultured bacterium. RNAcentral's name for it is "bacterial SSU rRNA". It matches the Rfam family "Bacterial small subunit ribosomal RNA", at positions 532 to 1456 of the family's 1533-position model. The record is from RNAcentral.